AUGGAGUGUAAUUCUUCAGAUGUGCAAAUGUCACACUGCGCUGAGGGUUCCGAGACUACAAUAGAGAUCAAAAUCAAGACUUUGGAUUCCCAAACAUACAAUUUGCGCGUGAAUAAAUGUGUGCCAAUUCCUCUGCUAAAGGACAAAAUAGCUACCGUAACUGGAGUAUUGUCUGAACAACAACGUCUGAUUUGUCGUGGGAGAGUCUUGAAGGAUGAUGAACUUCUCUCUGCUUAUCAUGUUGAAGAUGGCCAUACGUUGCAUCUUGUUGUUAGACAACCAGGCCAGCCAGCUGCAUCAGGAAAUGCAGGAAAUGAAGCUAGUGUAUCAAAUUCAACUCGUCGUCAUGGUCGCACGGUUCGCAGUAUUGUGCUUGAGGCUGUAGAUUUGGACCAGGGGAGUGAAUUCUCUAGCAUUGCCCAGAUUCUCCAGAGCAUGUUGACCAGCCCACAAGUUCAGGGUGGAUCAGCACCUUCUGAUACCAGACCUUCAGAACCUAUGCAAUCUUCAUUCCCAAAUGAUGUCAGGGUCGAACUUGAUCAGCAGCAGGCUUCUCUGCAUUUCCCUGAAGCGGCAGUUGGAUCAUCAAUGCCAAAUGUCAUCCCUGAUUCCGUGAGUACAAUUUCUCAGUACAUUAACCUUAUGAGGGACUCGUUUAGGAGGGAAGGCUUCAAUGGAAAUGCACAAACGGUGGGUAACAUUGACCCUGGAACUGCAGGAAGUGCUCAUGCUAGUGGUACACAAAGCCAGGAAAGCCAGCCUGGUUCAACUUCUGCACAUCAUGUACUUCCUACUGCAGCAUUGCUAGCUGAAACCAUGCACUCUACUAGACAACUUCUUGUUGACCUGGCUGGAGAAUUGCUAUCUCAACUCUCGACGCAAUUGGGAGAUCUUGGGAAUGUAAGUGACUCCACAACACGGAGGAACCUUCAACAGAGUGCAAUGAGACAAGGUGUUCUCCUCCAGAGUCUUGGUUCAUUACUUCUAGAACUUGGUCGCACCACAAUGACGCUUCGUAUCAAUCCCGCACCUUCAGAAGCGGUUGUAAAUUCUGGACCGGCUGUUUUUAUUUCUCCAUCUGGGCCAAACCCUCUAAUGGUUCCUCCUGUUCCGUUUUUUCCAGGACCAAGAUCUGUCCAAAUGGGUCAGAUGUUUUCUAGUCUUGGUUCGCAAGGCUCUGUUCUACACCCAAGAGAUGCUGAUGUCCAUAUCCGUACAAGUGGGUCUGUGCCUGUAGCCAGUACUAACCCAAGUGAAUCGGUUGGGGCACAGCAAGCACAAGAACAUACAGAUAGAACUGGCAAUGCUUCACAUUCAAACGCUAGAGGAGCAUUUGCACGAGUUGCAGGUGGUGCUCCUUUUGCUGUUGGGUCUGGAGUUAGACUAUUGCCACUUAGGACAGUUGGUGCUGUGCCUGCUGGCAUCAGUCGCUCUCCAUCGGGUUCUUCUAGUGGAGGAGUUGGUGUUAUCAUUCCAAUGAUCACCAGAGUUCAUCAAAGAGUAAAUUCUAAUGGUAGCGGUGCACGAAAUGGUCAAACUCCAAAUGAACCUCAUAGUGACACCCAUGCUAAUCUGCAACCGAAUCCUCAGCCAUCUCAAGCACGUGAAGCAGGUAAUCUGGGACAUGCGGUUGAGGUCAAUGUGGGGAACACUUCGCAGGCUUCCCAUGGUCAGCAGAAUGGCCAGGGUCCUUUUUCUCAGUUGAUGGACAGUCUCCAGUGGAUUGGAUCACUGUUUUCUGGAGAAAAUCCCCCAGCAAAUGGUACAAGUCAGCAUGCACCAGCGGCUUCUGCUGAGCCGGUAGAUGCUAGAAACCAUGCAGUACCUGAAGCUUCAGUGGCCAGUGACGAGGGGAUACGCUUUGCUAAUUUGGUCAGGCAAAUUAUGCCACAUAUCUCCCAGGUUGAAAACCAGCCUCAAAGCACCCCUGCAGACACCAGCAAUACUCCUUCACAGGCUGCUGUGCCCGAGAGCGCAAACGGUUCGAGGGAUGGGCCAAGUGAUUCCAGGAAUUCACGUCAACAUAACCGCGACCCAGUUGACGGGCCUAAUUCUAAAAGGCAAAGGAGGUAUUGCGCGUCUCGCACAUGUUUAUAUAUUUUCUUAUGA
This 2109-nucleotide ribosomal RNA is filed under the name Triticum aestivum (bread wheat). RNAcentral describes it as "partial small subunit ribosomal RNA". Lineage: Eukaryota; Viridiplantae; Streptophyta; Magnoliopsida; Poales; Poaceae. The record is from RNAcentral.